Felis catus (domestic cat) is the source of this 4149-nucleotide long non-coding RNA. RefSeq lists it as uncharacterized. The transcript has 2 exons. The record is from RefSeq and is a predicted model, not a curated record. NCBI's taxonomy places the organism in Eukaryota, Metazoa, Chordata, Mammalia, Carnivora, Felidae.
UCCCAAGCAGACUCUACACUGUCAGCGUAGAGCCUGAUGCGGGGCCAGAACUCACAAACUGUGAGCUCACCACCGGAGCUGAAAUCCAGAGUUGGAGGCUUAACCCACUGAGCCACGCGGGCGCCCCCUGGCUUGUGUUUCUCGAAGGUGCCUUGCUCUGCUUACACCCUUUGCCUUCUUUCCUCCAAGACUCAGGUCGAUGAGACCCCCGCCCCCCAAGGAAGCCUCUGCUGGGCCCACCCUCUCUUCCGGUACCUCCUGUCCCACCCCGGGGUGGGCACAUGCCUCUCCUCUGGGCUCCCGCCGCACACUGGGGUCCCCUCGCUACAUUUAUCACAACGUCUGAAAACAAGUAGACCGUCUGCCUCUCCCACUGAGCCCUGAGUUGUUCGAAGGCAGAGAGGUUGGGCUGCUUUAAACCGCGUGCCUCAGUUUCCACAGCCAUACAAGGAUGGCCCCCUGAAUCCUAUCUCCCUCCCCGUGUUAUUGUGGCAGAUGGCUUUAUGGGCUGUAUUCUGUAACUUCUGACACGAUGCAUAAAUACGAGUUAGAAUUACUUUCAAGAAAUUUACUUGGGUUAACAAUUUUUUUUUUUUCCCAGUUCCAUAAAAUCGACCUCAAGUAACACGGUCUCUGUGCGCCCGCUUUCCAAAACCCUGGCAGCGCAUUUAUGAAUCAGGAAAUUUCCGUUCCUUCUUUGACACACUAAAAAUGUGUCAUUUCCCCUUUUCCAAGAAGUUUUUUGACCAGCCCAAGACAGUUGGAUUCCUUACGUCCACAAACGUGCCGACUUCGGGUGGAUUGACAAAAGCAGGCCGAUCACACACGCUUAACGAAAUGUAAUGUGUUUUCUUAGGAGUGCUGUUUAACAACAAUUAAAGAAGAACGGAUUGUGCGGUCUGCAGACAGGAAUCACUUAACGGAAACCCAAUGAGGCUCAGAUGCUUAGGUCUGCAUUUUAGGGCCACCAGCCCGCCUUUAGAUUUCCCUGCUGGGAUGCCUUCCGUCAGCAGCUCUUAACCGGGCUGUUCCAGAGGGCUCUCUGCUCAGCGCUGUGGAGCGUCAGGGUGGGUGUUCUCUGGAUUCGCUUCUGUUGGACGGCGGGCAGUGGCGAGAGCAGCGGAUGCGGGGCAAGGCGGGCAGUGAGAGCGGCACAGGCUGUGAGGGCGCCCAGGCGACCUUCGGGGGCUCCGUUCGUGGCCUCUGGGUGUUUCGGUGCCGGCCUGGAACUGGGAUCCUGCUGGAGAUGGCCCCGCUCUGUGGUUCCUCACACCAAGACAUAUGUGAGCAAUUACCCAGCUCUGAGAGUGUGGGCGUGGGAGUGUGGGAGGGAAGGGCGGGCGGCUUCAGAAACCCCACCGCUUCCUGCUAAUUUCCCAAAGAAUAAAACUGGCUCCUGUCCCAUGGUUGUCUCUGUAGCCUGAAGUCAAGGAGAUGCCUGGGAUUUAUUAAAACACAGGCUGGUAGAUCAUCAUGGAGAGUGCUUCUCGGUGCCUGUUCGUGAUAGGUCGUUGGCCUUGCAGUGUGGCGGCCACCGACGUGGCCUGAUCCGCCUUGUCCCCGAAGGCUCGCCGCCCACCAUGUGCCACGUCUGUUCUUGAACACCCAGGCCCCCAGAUCCCCAUGGCUUUCCAGCUUUGCUGAAGCCUCUGUUAGGUUUCCACCUAAGCGCGGUGCAGGUGAACGUGUUAAUGCAUCGUGUAAAAUUGGAUCCCCAUCACCACCCUUCGGUUCGCGAUGAGCCCCCAUAGAAAGAAGGCAAGUAGUUCUUCAAGGAAGCGUUUGAAGGCCGCAUUCCUGUCACGAAGAUGCAUUAAGGUUUGGGCUAGGGAUUUGCCCUAAGUUAACUUAAAAUCAGACAGAGAACGUGAAGGUUGGAAAACCUCUUAGAGACCACGUUGUCCAAAAUUCUUGUCUAUACAGAUGGAAACGGGUCUGGGGGUGGGUUCCGAACCGCCGCUCGGCAGGGGCUCGUAGUGAUCGUCUGCGGUUUCAUUGUAUUUUGUAAUCUUAGGUACUAAGUAUUGUUUUGGUCUUUCUGGCUCCCGCCGAGGGUCUUUGUCGUUUCUACCGCGUUUUACCCCCUCCUUCCCCCUCAGGCUUACAUUCUUCUGGGUUUGUUUUGUUUUCCUUCCCCCCAAAUCAUCUCAAGGUCUGCCCAGGAGACUGGACGCCCAGCCCAAUGUUCCCGUGUGCUCCAGGUAAGCUCCUGUGUGGAUCCGAUCUCUGACAACGUCAGGAACAGAGCGCAAGUCCCAGGAAGGUAACUCUGGGGCGUCAACCGUAACCUCGAACGCACAGCCUCCCCGGCAUCCCCUCGGAGACUCGCGCCCGCAUGUCACGCAGGGGCUUCUUUCCCUUCGUAUCCAUCUUUUACCUCCCCCAGUAACGGGCAGGAUUUGGCUACGUGGCAGGUGUCGCAAACACUUGCACUAAUGCAGGGACGGUGGUGGUGCGGAGGGAGGGCCAGCCGUCCCUGCCUCUGUCCUCCUCCGGAAGGAGUCACCCUGAAGUUGCCCUCUCCCACCACUAGAUGGUAGAUGGUGGUCACACAUGAAUGGAAAGCAACCCCGAUUUCAAAUUCGUCACUUCUUCAUUAUUGUUUAUAGCAAGGGUGUCCUGUGUCUACCGCAUCCCAGGGAGCGGGCUUGCUGACAUUAAUGGGUCAGAGAAACUUCUUUCCUUAGAUCUUUCUCAGCCUGUGUCCUCGCGUCGGUCAGCUCCUGGCUCAAUGCCCUUUUCAGAGGCGCCCCCGCAGGGUGGGGUCCUGAUGAUAUCACCCUCCUCAUCAUCACUGUCCCCAUCACCAAGCACACCAUCACCACUCUCACCAUCACCACGAUCACUGCUAUCACCAUCAUCCUCGUCAUUAGCAUCAUCCUCCUACGCAAACGAGCGUCUUAAAAGAAAAUGAAACAGCUGGUAAGUUAGAACUCCGAUUUAGGGAGGAGGUAAGAUGGAAGACGAAGAUUUGUGUGUGACUAACCAUUCCUGGCCAAACCCAGGAAAACGGGUGAGCUCGCUAAGAAAAAAAAACAAGAACAGCAAAGAGGUCAAAGUAUCAGGAGGUGAUCAGGCUCCUGCAGGAACGAAGGAGUGUAGCCAGUUACAAGUUCAGACAGAGCUGGCAGGGAGGGAGCAUUAAAUGCUGAAGUGAGAUCAAGGCAAACAUUAACCCCGAAAAGGCCCUUACUGCUUUUAGGGAGCCCCGUCCUUAUUGAUGUGGGGGUGGGGUUUCUGUGGAGCGGUGGGGAUGGCAGUUCAUUAGGCACGGUGCGCCUGCUACGGCGCCUGAUGUGAUCGGAGGUCCGUCACCCAACUGCCCUCACACCGCCGUGCAGCCCGUGGAGGUCAGGGCCUUGGCUGGACGUGUGCGGGUUUGAAAUCAACCCAAGGAAGGAGCCCCUUCUGAAAUGUUUGCUGGGAGAAGUGGGAUUUAAACCUGCACCGUUAAUACACAGCGUUUACAAGCCACUUAAAUCAGUUACGUCAUUUCUAAAUGGUCUCUUGGCAGAGGGUGGUCAUCGGGGACUUCCAGACUAUUUCUUUUCUGGUGGCACUACUUUAGGAAGCGGCAAAGGAGCGUCUGCCACAGUGUAAGGUUGCAGAGAGAAGAUCGAGAACUCACCGCAGGACCGAUAGGCAGACCUCGGAGAUACCGCGGGUUCCGUUGCAGACUGCUGCAAUAAAGUGAAUAUUGCAAUAAACGCGUCAAACCAACUUUUUGGUUUCCCAGUGCAUAUGAAAGACUACUAGUGUAGUCUGAUAAGUGUGCAACAGCAUUAUGUCAAGAAAAUCAUGUGUAUGCCUUAAUUAAAAAUGCCCUCACUGCUAAAAAAUGCUGACCGUCAUCGUCACGUUCAGGGUAUCCUCAUCAUUGAUCACGGAUCACCGUAACAAAUAGAAUAGUAACGCCAAGUUUGAAAUCCGGCAAGAAUUAGCAAAAUGUGACUCAGAGACACGAAGUGAGCAAGGAAGAAAGCAGCACCGAGAGACGUGCUCCGUGCAGGGUCGCCGCAAACCUUCAAUUUGUGGAAAACGCACUAUCUGCCGAGCUCAGUGAAGCAAAGUACAAUGUAUUGUGAUGUAUUGCAAUGAGCUUAUGUUGUCACGGAAAUAUUUUAUUAAAAUAAUUACAAGGCAAAUAGA